RNAcentral lists this ribosomal RNA (524 nucleotides) under uncultured bacterium. Its description in RNAcentral is "bacterial SSU rRNA". It matches the Rfam family "Bacterial small subunit ribosomal RNA", at positions 8 to 518 of the family's 1533-position model. The record is from RNAcentral.
AGAGUUUGAUCCUGGCUCAGGAUGAACGCUAGCUACAGGCUUAACACAUGCAAGGUCGAGGGGGCAGCAUAAUCGAAGCUUGCUUGAUUGAUGGCGACCGGCGCACGGGUGAGUAACGCGUAUCCAACCUUCCCCUUAGUAGGGCAUAGCCCGGCGAAAGUCGGAUUAAUACCCUAUGUUAUUCGUUGAGGACAUCUGAAAUGAAUCAAAGAUUUAUCGCUAAGGGGAUGGGGGAUGCGUCUGAUUAGGUUGUUGGCGGGGUAACGGCCCACCAAGCCUACGAUCAGUAGGGGUUCUGAGAGGAAGGUCCCCCACAUUGGUACUGAGACACGGACCAAACUCCUACGGGAGGCAGCAGUGAGGAAUAUUGGUCAAUGGGCGAGAGCCUGAACCAGCCAAGUAGCGUGCAGGAUGACGGCCCUAUGGGUUGUAAACUGCUUUUGCAUGGGAAUAAAGUCGGGGACGUGUCCCCGUUUGUAUGUACCAUGAGAAUAAGGACCGGCUAAUUCCGUGCCAGCCGCCGC